UACGUAGGGUGCAAGCGUUAAUCGGAAUUACUGGGCGUAAAGCGUGCGCAGGCGGUUCGGAAAGAAAGAUGUGAAAUCCCAGGGCUUAACCUUGGAACUGCAUUUUUAACUACCGAGCUAGAGUGUGUCAGAGGGGGGUGGAAUUCCGCGUGUAGCAGUGAAAUGCGUAGAGAUGCGGAGGAACACCGAUGGCGAAGGCAGCCCCCUGGGAUAACACUGACGCUCAUGCACGAAAGCGUGGGGAGCAAACAGG
Molecule: ribosomal RNA, 253 nt
Filed under: uncultured bacterium
Lineage: Bacteria
Description: partial 16S ribosomal RNA
Rfam family: Bacterial small subunit ribosomal RNA
Source: RNAcentral